Acipenser ruthenus (sterlet) is the source of this 1405-nucleotide long non-coding RNA. RefSeq lists it as uncharacterized. NCBI's taxonomy places the organism in Eukaryota, Metazoa, Chordata, Actinopteri, Acipenseriformes, Acipenseridae. The transcript has 3 exons. The record is from RefSeq and is a predicted model, not a curated record.
AUUGAAUUGGAACCCUCCGGCUUUAAGUGAAAUAUGGGGACUGGUAUUGAAUUCAUUGAAUUCUGGUCACCGAUAAGAAGUUCAGUUACCUGGAGAUCGUUGACAGAUCCCGGAGACCUUGAGACUCAAUAGAAAACCAGGAGGUCAGGCAGCAAGAGUGCUACAGCGUGAAGAUGGCAGCUGGAUCUAGAGCCUUAACAGCAGAGGAAAUCUCCAAAAAUAUACAGACAAACAGAAAUAUUACUAUUUCAAUUGAAAACAACUGUGAUUUCUGUCUAACAAACCCAAGGACUUACACUUUCAGUGGAUAUAAUGUAGAUCCUCCUCAGCCAACCAUCAAUGCAAAAACCACGGCCGUCUGUUCCUUCGGCAAAACCAAUUUUGGAGCACGUGGAGCUGUGGGCGUCUUAACCUACGAUGUCAUCAAGAACAAUGAUGCUGUCGAAUGCAUUGCCAUGAUGUUUUCUGUACCAUUUGAUUACAAUUUGUAUGAAAACUUGUUCUCUAUAGGGUCUGUUACUGUAGGAACAUCCUGUGAUAAUGCCCUAUACAAUCGAAUGUAUCAAGAGUGGGUGGAUGGUUUCACCAGAGGACAAGCAAAAACUGGGGCCAUAAAGUGUACUGGGGAAGUUGUUGAAAUAAAAGCCACAAUGUCUCCCGCAGGCAGGUCAAUAAUGAAAGUUGAAGUGUGGAACAAACGUACAUGUGCUUGAGACAUACUGUGCUUGCUUUUCAUUGAUGGCCUGAUAUUUGCAUGCAUUAAAUCAUUCUACUCAGCUAUUGCGAAACAGUCAUAUAGUGAGCACUAGAUGCAUUAUACUUUUUAUACUGUAUAAAAGCAUUUACAACAUGUAUAACAAACUAUGGAUUGUGUUGCAGCUGUUGAUAUAAAUGAACACUGUACUGUAUGGACACUUACAGCCUGUAUGUAGACUUAUAGCCUGUCAUCUUUUGGAGAGCUUGAUGUGAGAUGGUAUGUGUUUUUCUCUGUCCAACCUCAAUUAGCAGACUCAAUAAAAGGUAUUUCUUCCAAAGAUGAAGCUUAAACUGACUAACACUUGAACAAUGUAUAUGAAUUUGCUAUUUAACUGCUAACCCUAUUUCCAUGAACAGUUCUUACACUGUAAACCCCGAUAAGUUCUGCUAACUCAAAAAAAUUGAGGCAACUGAUUGCCUUUGUUUUUUUGAGUAAUGAAACUUAAAAUGGAAAUGUAUACAGUACUUACUAUUCUUAGUUGAUAUAACUUUCAAGUUUAAUUAAACUAUACUUUAAAAUAGUAUGAUGAUGAACUCAAUUAUUUUCUACUUAAAACUCAAUACAUUGAAUUAACAACAACUUACCAUUUGAAGUGUACUUAAUGUAUACAUAUUAUGUUGUCAUAACUUAAUGUGUUUGUGUUCUGCU